CCUACGGGCGGCAGCAGUGGGGAAUAUUGGACAAUGGGGGGAACCCUGAUCCAGCCAUGCCGCGUGUGUGAAGAAGGCCCUCGGGUUGUAAAGCACUUUCAGUGAGGAAGAACGCCUGGUGGUUAAUACCCAUCAGGAAAGACAUCACUCACAGAAGAAGCACCGGCUAACUCCGUGCCAGCAGCCGCGGUAAUACGGAGGGUGCGAGCGUUAAUCGGAAUUACUGGGCAUAAAGCGCGCGUAGGUGGCUUGAUAAGCCGGUUGUGAAAGCCCCGGGCUCAACCUGGGAACGGCAUCCGGAACUGUCAAGCUAGAGUGCAGGAGAGGAAGGUAGAAUUCCCGGUGUAGCGGUGAGAUGCGUAGAGAUCGGGAGGAAUACCAGUGGCGAAGGCGGCCUUCUGGACUGACACUGACACUGAGGUGCGAAAGCGUGGGUAGCAAACAGGAUUAGAUACCCUGGUAGUC
This 465-nucleotide ribosomal RNA is filed under the name Vreelandella stevensii. RNAcentral's name for it is "partial 16S ribosomal RNA". It matches the Rfam family "Bacterial small subunit ribosomal RNA", at positions 338 to 795 of the family's 1533-position model. Lineage: Bacteria; Pseudomonadati; Pseudomonadota; Gammaproteobacteria; Oceanospirillales; Halomonadaceae. The record is from RNAcentral.